This 253-nucleotide ribosomal RNA is filed under the name uncultured bacterium. Its description in RNAcentral is "partial 16S ribosomal RNA". It matches the Rfam family "Bacterial small subunit ribosomal RNA", at positions 524 to 776 of the family's 1533-position model. The record is from RNAcentral.
UACGUAGGGGGCAAGCGUUGUCCGGAUUUAUUGGGCGUAAAGAGCGUGUAGGCGGCUUUAAAGGUCCGUUGUGAAAACUCGAGGCUCAACCUCGAGACGCCGGUGGAAACCGUAAAGCUAGAGUCCGGAAGAGGAGAGUGGAAUUCCUGGUGUAGCGGUGAAAUGCGCAGAUAUCAGGAGGAACACCCGUGGCGAAAGCGGCUCUCUGGGACGGUACUGACGCUGAGACGCGAAAGCGUGGGGAGCAAACAGG